Molecule: ribosomal RNA, 483 nt
Filed under: uncultured bacterium
Lineage: Bacteria
Description: bacterial SSU rRNA
Rfam family: Bacterial small subunit ribosomal RNA
Source: RNAcentral
CAGGCCUAACACAUGCAAGUCGAGGGGUAAAUAGGUAGCAAUACUUAUGAGACCGGCAAACGGGUGCGGAACACGUACGCAACCUUCCUUAGAGCGGGGAAUAGCCCAGAGAAAUUUGGAGUAAUACCCCAUAGCAUUUUGAGAAAGCAUUUUCUCUUUAUUAAAGAUUCAUCACUCUAAGAUGGGCGUGCGGCUGAUUAGGUAGUUGGCGGGGUAAUGGCCCACCAAGCCUACGAUCAGUAGCUGAUGUGAGAGCAUGAUCAGCCACACGGGCACUGAGACACGGGCCCGACUCCUACGGGAGGCAGCAGUAGGGAAUAUUGGACAAUGGGCGCAAGCCUGAUCCAGCCAUGCCGCGUGGAGGAUGAAGGUCCUCUGGAUUGUAAACUUCUUUUAUUUGGGAAGAAAUGUAGAUAUUCUUAUUUACUUGACGGUACCAGAUGAAUAAGCACCGGCUAACUCCGUGCCAGCAGCCGCGGUAAU